UGGGUCGUUAGCUCAGUUGGUAGAGCAGUUGACUUUUAAUCAAUUGGUCGCAGGUUCGAAUCCCGCACGACCCACCAU
RNAcentral lists this transfer RNA (78 nucleotides) under Yersinia pestis Angola. Its description in RNAcentral is "tRNA-Lys". It matches the Rfam family "tRNA". From Rfam's summary of the family: Transfer RNA (tRNA) molecules are approximately 80 nucleotides in length. Their secondary structure includes four short double-helical elements and three loops (D, anti-codon, and T loops). RNAcentral also lists the same sequence under 8 other names. Lineage: Bacteria; Pseudomonadati; Pseudomonadota; Gammaproteobacteria; Enterobacterales; Yersiniaceae. The record is from RNAcentral.